This 497-nucleotide ribosomal RNA is filed under the name uncultured bacterium. Its description in RNAcentral is "partial 16S ribosomal RNA". It matches the Rfam family "Bacterial small subunit ribosomal RNA", at positions 28 to 507 of the family's 1533-position model. The record is from RNAcentral.
GAUGAACGCUGGCGGCGUGCCUAAUACAUGCAAGUCGAGCGAACAGACGAGGAGCUUGCUCCUCUGACGUUAGCGGCGGACGGGUGAGUAACACGUGGAUAACCUACCUAUAAGACUGGGAUAACUUCGGGAAACCGGAGCUAAUACCGGAUAAUAUAUUGAACCGCAUUGUUCAAUAGUGAAAGACGGUUUUGCUGUCACUUAUAGAUGGAUCCGCGCCGCAUUAGCUAGUUGGUAAGGUAACGGCUUACCAAGGCAACGAUGCGUAGCCGACCUGAGAGGGUGUUCGGCCACACUGGAACUGAGACACGGUCCAGACUCCUACGGGAGGCAGCAGUAGGGAAUCUUCCGCAAUGGGCGAAAGCCUGACGGAGCAACGCCGCGUGAGUGAUGAAGGUCUUCAGAUCGUAAAACUCUGUUAUUAGGGAAGAACAAAUGUGUAAGUAACUAUGCACGUCUUGACGGUACCUAAUCAGAAAGCCACGGCUAACUACGUG